GCCGAAAUAGCUCAGCUGGGAGAGCGUUAGACUGAAGAUCUAAAGGUCCCCAGUUCGAUCCUGGGUUUCGCAAGAGUCAAGCG
Epinephelus fuscoguttatus (brown-marbled grouper) is the source of this 83-nucleotide non-coding RNA. NCBI's taxonomy places the organism in Eukaryota, Metazoa, Chordata, Actinopteri, Perciformes, Serranidae. The record is from the annotation of a RefSeq genome assembly.